Oxyura jamaicensis (ruddy duck) is the source of this 2235-nucleotide long non-coding RNA. RefSeq lists it as uncharacterized. The transcript is spliced from 4 exons. Lineage: Eukaryota; Metazoa; Chordata; Aves; Anseriformes; Anatidae. The record is from RefSeq and is a predicted model, not a curated record.
UUGUAUGGGUGCUGUGCUUGGGACGAAUGCUGUUACCUACAACAGAGUGAGAGUGAAUAGUCCUUUGCUCUUCUGUCAAAGGCCUCAGUGGGACUUUGGAGUCACCUUUUUUAGAAGAUCCUAUGUGAUUUAGGAUUCCUUCACAUGGAGAUUUCUGAGACUUCUGCCAGCCAUGUACAUCCCUCUGUGGAGAUCCUGUGAAAACUCAUCUUCUACAUUUUCCCACUGAAAACUCAUCUUGGUUUGGGGGGCUGGGAGCUCCCAUAUAGCCCAUGGGUAUAUGGGGCUUUUGCUGCUCCAGUGUGGGCACUGUAACCUCACAGACAUCUCAUGCUGCAUCCUUGUAGGCAUUCAGAGACUAACACAUUUGUUUUUCUUGCCUUUGCAGACUGCUCUGACAAGGAGAGACCCCCAGACAACCAUCCCACCUUAUCCUCACGUUGCUGCCGGCCUCCUCAUGCACAUGCUGCCUUCCUGGGAGAAUGCUGCAACUCCUCCCUAAGACCCCACAUGCUGUGUCUGCACCUCCAGCCAGAUCAUCUUGUCUAGUCUCUGGGCCUAACCUGUGGCUGUUGGCACUGACACAUGGAGCUAGAGCUGUAGCAGAGUCUCCAGGAGGACAGGGAGGUCACGUAGUACAACAAACUGUCAUGGAGCCAGGUCCCAGAUGGGAGAACACCCAUAAACCAGAAAAUGUUGCCUCCUGUUUUGUAGGAAGUCAGGAGCCAGCCCAAUUGAGAAGCAUGAAAGCAUCAACUUGGUCUUUGGCUCCUCCUUGGCCCAAAUGGGAGCCAAGAGGCCAAGGAGCAAGCUGGUUUCCAGCUUGUGGAUGCAGAACUUGUCAUAUUUGGGCUCACCAUCAGCUGAAUUUCUUGACAAGGCUUCCAGGCACAGCCAGGGACUAGCAGAAAGUCAGACUCUUCUGCCAUUGCCUAACUGGAGACACAGCAACAGGAGAGCCAGAAAUUUUUCAUUCCUGAAGCCAUGAGCUGCAUGCUCCCUGUCAGCCCCAUGAGCUGGGAAGCACCUCACUCACCUGCUCUGUCACGUAGCCCCAGCACCCCAGGUCAGCCAGGAGAUACAGAUCUGGCUGGGGGAGUCUCGGCUGCCCUGUGCCUCAGGUCUCACCGACAGUCAUGGCAGGGCUGAGUCUUUUUUCUUACGGCUGUGUCUUGGGCAACCCCCAGCUGUUAUGGGGUCACUCUGAGGCCCCUCUAUAACACUAAACCCAGAAAACUUGAUUUCUCAAAGAUCUUCACACAUGUAUGUGCAUCAGCCCCCUUAGCAGUAGCAUUUGUAUCUCCCUCCAGUCAAGCAGGCUGUCCACCUGGAGAUUUAUUACACUGCUGCUAGCAAAACACGUGUGGCCUGGAGCAGCUGUCAGUGACCACUGACUGCCCUCUCUUUCCCCAGCAGUGAAAUUUUCAGCUUCGAGGCACAACACUGUGCAGCAAGGGUAUUUUCUGCCUUGGCCUGACCUUCACUGUUAGCCUCAGGAUCCACAUCUGUUGCAUCACAAAAAAUUGCUCCUGCUAUGACGUCCUUUAUCAAGAAAAGCAUCAUAAGGUUAUUGUCUUCUGAUAUAAGGAGUAGGAAGCAAUCACAUGCUUGUCCAGGCCAAGAAAAGUACAUGACUCAGGCAACCACAGGGACUUCCUUCUUGUUUGAUAGUAAUCACCCCUCCGUACUGGGGUCCUUUUCCUUGUGAAUGAAUGAGGCUGAGGUAACCUGGUCCCCCACUUCUUUAAAGUGAGGAUGCUUUUUUACGCAGUUGAAGAACAGAAAAGGCUAUUUUUCUCCUCCCAUUCCUCUUCAGACUGAGGAUGAUGUCUCCAUUUCUCAACCCAUUGUUACUGUUUUAUGUUCUAGGAUGAACUUCACAGAAAUAAACAGGAUUUGAUCAUUUUUGAGCUUGCCCUGACCCCCUGAGGGCUGGACCCUUCCUGAACACCCUUUUGCCUGGAACAGGUGCAUAGAAAUGGACCUACGCUGCCUGCUCUGGACACUCAAAAUAAAUAUGGACACAGCAGCAUUAAGGCAGGCGUGCAUCCCUUCAGAGACAGUCAGUGUUCACGAGGCAGCCAGGCAAGAUGUUCUCUACAUGGAAAACAACUUCACACGAGCACCUCAUAAAUUUGGUGAAAUAACUGGAAGAUUAAGUCAAGUCUCAAAGACAAGAUGAAGCAUAUAGACCUGCUGAGAUGCCUUCAAAAGGGAGGCAAGAAAAUACACUGA